UCCGGUGGCGAUGGCGAAGGGGAACCACCUGUUCCCAUACCGAACACAGAAGUUAAGCCCUUCAGCGCCGAUGGUACUUGGCUGGUGACGGCCCGGGAGAGUAGGACGCUGCCGGAU
RNAcentral lists this ribosomal RNA (117 nucleotides) under Luoshenia tenuis. The record is from RNAcentral. Lineage: Bacteria; Bacillati; Bacillota; Clostridia; Christensenellales; Christensenellaceae.